CAGUAGCCGCGGGAAUACGUAGGGUGCGAGCGUUAAUCGGAAUUACUGGGCGUAAAGCGUGCGCAGGCGGUUAUAUAAGACAGAUGUGAAAUCCCCGGGCUCAACCUGGGACCUGCAUCUGUGACUGUAUAGCUAGAGUACGGUAGAGGGGGAUGGAAUUCCGCGUGUAGCAGUGAAAUCCGUAGAUAUGCGGAGGAACACCGAUGGCGAAGGCAAUCCCCUGGACCUGUACUGACGCUCAUGCACGAAAGCGUGGGGAGCAAACAGGAUUAGAUACCCCCGUAGUCCCUGUCUCUUAUAA
This 301-nucleotide ribosomal RNA is filed under the name uncultured bacterium. RNAcentral describes it as "partial 16S ribosomal RNA". It matches the Rfam family "Bacterial small subunit ribosomal RNA", at positions 509 to 809 of the family's 1533-position model. The record is from RNAcentral.